This 25-nucleotide non-coding RNA is filed under the name Mus musculus (house mouse). The record is from RNAcentral. Lineage: Eukaryota; Metazoa; Chordata; Mammalia; Rodentia; Muridae.
UAGGAAUCGAUUAAGCCACUGUCCC